CGCGGCACGGCACUGCCGAACGACCGCGCACAGCGCACCGCAGCGAGGGCCCGGGACCGUGCGGGCCGCGGAGGACAGAGCAGCCGUGAGGAGAGGCAGCGGGGCCGGCUGAUGGAGCUUUUAAUUGGGGGCGGGAGGGGGGGGGAGUGGGAGGGAAAGGAAAGGAAGGUCCUCUGGAAAUAUCUUCCGGGAUUAGAACGAGGAGCGCUGGACUCCCAUCUCGAUGCGGCCCUGUAGGAAAGCGCUGCGGGGACCGCGAAAAAGCUGCUCGGAAGGACCCACGGGGCUGAAAACGGGGAUUGGAAAAGAAAAAAAAAAAAAAAGUAGAUGGUGUGUGUGACAAAAAAAGCUGGGUGAUUCUGUUUUCUCAUGCCCUCGCUCCUCCACCAGCUGCACAGCCAAGCGCAGGCUGCUUGGCCCUUAUAACUAUCUUGGCACGGAGUCAAAAGCUGAUAAGCAUUUGGGCGAGACAGCUCAACUGCUGUGCUGGAAGAAAAACAGCUGCCAUGAUUUCUGUUUGAUUGAGAGCGCUUACACACACGCACAAAAAACACAUCGGGCUGCAGAGACGGGCCACGAAUGCCUGAGGAUUCAGCUUCAGAAGAGCAAUGCACGUUUCCUUAAGGGAAAGAAAAAAAAAAAAAAGUUUUAUGCAGUUUUGCCUCCGUUCCUCCUCCCCUUUUUAAGGAAAAUGUACUGCGUAGACUCGCUCCUCUCCUUCCCAUCCCCCUCCAUAACCUCAAGCAAACUCGAGGAAUUGUGCCAAAAGUCCCGUUGCUAGUUACUGAGUGCGUUUUUUUCAAACGUCCCUUUGAUACUUCUUCCCCUUGUGCUUGCCAUGGAAUAUGCAACUCUGUAAGAAUGUCACACAAGAGGCAGCGCUAUCCCAGCUGGAUAAUUCAUGAGCCGAAAGCAGAGAACGCCAUUUUGAGGCUGUCACACAUUUCUGUGUCCAAAGUGGAUAACACCUGCGGAAAGCAUAAGAAUGAUAUUCUCAUGCUGCAGAAAAAGUAGGAAGAGAGGGAAAGAGACUAUCAUCAGGAAAACUGAAAGGAAGAUGCCUCUGUAGCAUGCACAUGCCGCCAGGAAGCAUGAGGUUUAGCCCAGAGGGCUCACAAAAUAAAAGAAACUUCCAGACUACGUGUUGGCAUCAAGAUGAGUGACAUGCCCACUGCAGGUAGGUGAAUGACUGGCACUCAGGACAACUCCCUGCAUUUCUCACCUCUCCACUUCUUUGUCUAGAAUGUAUGAAACUAAUCACACAGUUUCCAGUGACUGCUAUUCCUCAAAAUCUAGAAGAAAAAUAUUGGGCUUUUUAAUGCACCAAGGGUCAAAGAAAGAACACUGGAGUUGGAAAGUACUGACAGACAACUAAGUUUAAAAAAGUCAAUGUCCUUAGCAAAACAAGCUCUUAGGGAAAGAAAAAAAAAAAAAUCUACAACAGGUAUUUAAAAUAACCUACUGGGAAAUCCAGUAACACAUUGUCUCGUUGCAUGUUUAUCAGAUCUUCCCAUUGACUUAAAUGGGAACACUCUGCUUUUAUGCAUGAAAGAUUAUGCAGGCAUAGAGUAUCGGUUCAAAAUAAAGGGAAACAAUCUCUAAACACAGAAGAAGUACGUGGACAAGGGCAAACUGGGUACUGAGAAAAACUUUACAUAUGUCAAGGCAAAGAGGUACCUUUUUUCAAAAACAAAAAGCACUGAACUGAAAUUAAUAGAACUAAGAAUGUACUUACAAAGUAGUAUUUAAAACUGGGAUUAGAAGCAUAAGGACUGAACCAAGGAAUCAAAGACAUAAAGACAAUUUAUUGACAUACAGUAAAAGCAAGAAGACUGCACAACAGUUGUCUGGUAGGUUUGAAAUAGUAUUGGGGGAAAAAAAGGAGUGAAUAAAGAGGAAGAAAAACUGCAACAAAGAUAAUGGCUGAUUAUGACCUUGAGGUCUUUAGUCAUGCAAAAGAGUGAACUCAACUUUUCAUAUAUAUGGCCACGUUAACAUUUCUUGAUAGCUGGGUUCCUGAUGAGAGCUAUAUUAAGAAAAAAACAAACAAAAAUCUCUACAACCACUAACCCUCCUGAAGAAAUGCAAGACUAUACACCUCCUUCAGCCUGCAUGUCCUUCAUUCUCCAGUUCUUUUUCUUUCACUCCAGCCAAUGUAUGUAAAUCCAAAAUGGGAAGUAAAACCACCCUACAAGAAGUUAUGGAAUAAGACGUUUCUUCUCUUGGAACAGGAAAACAGCUGGAGGAAAUGUCACUCUGUGACACAAAGUUCUUGCACAGAUCAAUUUUUUUCUGGGUGGAACAAUACUGACCACUCCUCUCAAUGUCCAGAAAUCCAAACAGACUGAGAGGCAGCCUUUAUCUUAAAAAGAACAACUUCUUUUUAGGCCUAGAGCAGGUGGAAACCAUUGAAAAAGGUUUGUACUAACAAAGUGAUUAAAUUGUAUUUUCUGAACCCGGCAGAUUACAUCUCGUUAAUCUCUUCUUCUGCAAGUAAAGGGCAAGAGAGCAGCAGAUAAGAAAACAGAAAGUGCAGAAAUAACUGGAGAAACUAAAAGACAAGACAGGCUGCUCAAGAUUAAAAUCAGCGUUUCCAACCAAAAGAAAAUGCAUUCUUCUAUCUGGAAUGAAAGAGUGGUACUCCUUAAAUAGCCACAGAAAUAGUCCACAUUACAUGCCAAUGAAUUCUAGCAUUUAAUAAAAUGGUUGGAAGGCUACUUGAAAAUAUGUUAACCUGAAUGUCUAAGAAGAGGUUACAGAAUGGGGAGAAAAACAAUACAGCUAACGUAAUGAAAAAUACAUCUUUUUAUAUUGGAGUGGAUCUGCAGGUGAAAUUAUUAUUUACUUGGCCAUUCAAAAGGGCUUUGAUAGUGACUCAAAGAUCAUAAAGAAAACAGAGCAAUUGUGACCAAAAUUUAGGCUCAUGAUUAAAAACGAGCUAAGUAGCCCAAAGCAAAAUGUAGGGAUAAAAAAGGCACUUAAGAAGAAAAAGAUUAACAGUAAUUGUAUGCAGAAGUUACACUUGCAUCAGCUUUUAACAUUAUUUAGUAGUCUGGGAAAAAUUAAUUGUAAAACAAAGUGGCAAAAUUGACACUUGGAGUGUAUUUGGAUUACUGAAGAAAUUUAACAAAGUUAAACGAGUAUGAAACAACAUGAUAAAUACUUAUUGGUAAUUAUUAAGUAAGUUGCAUAGCAACAUUCUCAGCAAAGGAAAAAGAUCGGGGUGCCAUCACAACAAUUCAACAGUACUGUCAAAAAAAAAGACAAUUUUAACAGCACAUGCAAAAAAGCACAGAAACUAUGCUUCCAGUGGGUACCUGACUGGGAAAUACCUUCAAGAAGAAUGCUGUCUACAGUUCUUUUUACCUUACCUCAUUAAAACCACAGAACAUGAGUGUAAGGGCAGGUGACCAAAACGAUCUGGCUCUCGAGACGAUUGCCAUGUAACAUGACAAAGUGAUGAUGUUAUCAAGCACAUGAGCAACAGGGGACACGACAGAGAUGCACACUUUGAAAGUCAGAACUGUACUUUUUUACGUAUAGUGUUCAACAGGAGAGCACGCAGUAAAAUUAAAUGAGCAGCAUUAAAACUCUGGAAAUAUAUUACCUUACUAAGUGUAGGUAAGCAUGUGAAAAUCAGUGCCACAGUUCUUCAUUAAGGGACAUCAGUGAGACUUUGAAAGAAUACUGUUCUAUGCACAGCCUAUAGAAAUGUAACAUUAAAUAGGAUCGUUUGCUGGAAAUACCCUUGCACAAACCUGUAACAAAGCCAUUGGCCAAGGUAUCUGGCUGGACUAUUUUCUGACAAGGACAGGGUAUUCCAGAAGGAUCAAAUGCUGGUUGUUUUUGCCCUGCAUUUUCUUACCAACCAACCCUUUGUAAGAACGGUCUGGGUAGACUUAGCAUUAGACUGCAGAUCUAAUCCAGUGCAGUAAUUUCUACAUUUAAAUGUUUGCUAUGGUCAAAAACAAUGAUCCCCAAAACCUCUUCCCACCCCUACUACAAUGUGGUAAGAAUGAAAUAAUUUAUCCUCCAAGUUAGCUGCUGUGCCUGAUGCAAUGCUACCAAUGCAUUUCUCAAACUUCACAAAAAUACUUGGAAGCACGUAUUUUUUGCUACCUGCUUUUCCUCUCACCUUAAAUAAUUAGGAAGAACUUACAAGAUUCUGCUUCACAAUACAAAUGCGUUUCCUUAUUUUAUUAUCUUUUUUCCCCAUCCACACAUCGUUAUUUGUAAAACUCAUUUAAUAAUUCUGAGAGAUUCCAAGAUGUGUGUCAGAUGCUGGGAUAUUGCCACUUGUGUGGUGGUUUGCUACACUUACCCUUCAGUCUUGUGGCUAACAAUUCACCCAAAAUGUGAUAAUACCUCACCACAACCCACACGCUGCUGCUCUUCAAAGGAGAACAAGGAUACAUAAUUAUGAGAUGAUGAGCUCAAAUGUAAGACAGGAGAUGAGGGAACAGAUUCUGUAACCACACCUAUGAGUGGUUAAACUACUGAAGAAGUUUCUGCAGCUCCACUUUCACUCACAGCAUCAACAAAAGCCACGCAUUUUCAAAAUACUUAAAUAACAUUUGCUACAGGGGAGGAAUAAACACAGUGAUAAUACGUUGUCCCUGCAGAAGAAAAGAGGUUUAACAUCUAUUAAGAAUGUAAAUAAGUAUUAUCAACAAAUAGACCUUAUAGUCAGUGUAAGCAAGAUAUGCACACUUUUACUAGAAACACUGUCAAGAUCUCACUCCUCAAGAAUUUUUACUUUAAAAUAUUCUAAGUCUCAUUCCAACCUUUUGUGAUCAUGUAGUUUCACUCGUAACAGAAGGAACUGCAGAAGAAAAUAUCUAAGUGUAUCCAUGUCGAUGCAGGGGCUAACAGUGAAGCAUUCUGCACAGAAAUUAAGAACUGGUUACAGAUAGACUUUAGAGUCUACAAGAUCAGUCCCGUGGUGGAUAUUCUCAAUAAAGAAAACAUCAAAGCACUAUCCUUACUAGACUAAAAAUGUUGCAACUAGUUUUUGUGGGUUUUGUCAUAAUUAGUGAGUCAAGAAAUCUGGGGCAAAGCAAGACGCAAUUAAAGAUGCCAUCAAACUCAACAACUGUGAGAACUGACCAUCCUUUCAAAAUAUGCAUUAAUAUGAGAUUAAUGAGUAAGGAUUUAAAAAUAACAGGAUUACAUGCCUACUUGAUUUCUCAUUAUUAAAAAAUAAAAAUAAAAAAUCUCUUUUACCUAGGAGAAGUCUUCCUUCUGUGGGGUUGAAGGAUCACAACCCUAAAGCCAGUCCCUGCAUGCACAGCCAGCUUCUCUAAGCAGCAGCCACACCCUCCUCUUCCUCAUUUUUUUCCACUGACCAUGAAAUGCGUUCUAAGCCAGGCACUGAAAAAAAAAGAAAAAAUAGGAAAAAGAUCAUAAGUACAUUUUUAAUGGACACCAGAUACCACAUGGCUGAUUUAAUUAAGCAGAUUAGAAACAAAUAAGUAUAUUUAUACAAAUAUAUUUUGAUUUUCUGUUUCAUUUCAAACAAAUUUGGUAGGCCUGAUUUGGCUCUAUUCAAAUCACAAGAAACGUCAUUAAGAACGUUCUGUGCUGACAGUAGAAUCAAGCCCUCUUCUCUUUUUAGAAUGUCAUAUUUUACCUAUUCCACUGCUACUGUAAAAACAACAAAUGAGAGGGUUUUCAGAAUAUCCUGGAAUAAGCCUACGGACUUCGUAAUAGAAACUAAAACAGGACAAGCUUUGACAGAUGUUCCAGAGGUACUCUCUUCAAUGAAUUGGAUUACUGUAUCUUCAACAGAAUAAUACUGCAUUAUCACUCAACAUGUACUUACUGUUGUUAUAUUUUACACAAUUUACAUCAUCAAUAAUUUCACAGUACAUAGAACAUUAUAGAAAUCGACUGUUGUUAUAAACAGUUUUGCACACUGUAUCACCUGCUGACUUUAAUUCAUUAUUUAAACGACACUAAUUACACUACAUUUCAUAUUCUAUGGCUAAAUAGAAUAUUGAAUAGAAAUACAGAGUGAUAAGAACACUUUUUUCCAGUACCUCAAAAAAACAAACAAAAAACAACCCAGAACAACAGCCACCACUCUCCCCCUGAAAAGAAAAGUAAGGAAAAAGAAAAGAAAAGGAAAAAGAAACCCAGCAACACCCUUCUUUACAAGUUACUAGUUAUGGGAUUCAACAAUAAAGCAAAAAUACAUAUGUAGGGGUAAGCAACUUAAUCUCAAUUUUUGCAACAACUGCACAAAGGUACUACUGUUCAGCUCUCAUAAGGGCAGGGAAAUUACCAUUAAAGUUUUUGUUUGUUUUGUUUUUAAUUUAGAGCUAAAUAAUGUGACAGAAAUCUGCAGCUCAAUGCUAUUAUGUUUCUUGAAAGAACAAAUUGAUAUUAAAAUAAAAAUGUUAAGGUUAUAUUAAGAUGAAUGCCUGAGGACGACAACAUUUUUGGUAUUACAGUUAUUAUAUAAUAGCAAGUCCAAAAUAAUUUAUAAUCCCACCACUUAACUUCUUAUUUAUUCAUUUAUGACUCCAUCAUCACAGAAGAAUACUCUUACGAACAUACUGUGCACUUUCAGUAUUAGAAGGGCUGUUCACAAAGGCAUUUUGCAUGCUCCUGCAUCCUAAUAGGCUGCCAAUAUACAGCUUCGUAAAUCUCAAAGCCUGCACAACACAAGGUUAGAUACAGUACACUGGCUGUAUAUACAUUUGCACAUACAGUAAAAUACAACUAACUUGCAGAAUCAUAUCAACACUGCUGUGUUUAUAGACACGUUCAUUCAUGCAGAAAUCUUUCUCCUGCAUACUGCAGAGUAUUAGGCAAUAUGUGUACCUCUCACCAUAACGGAACACUCUGGUACACAACACUGACUUU
Molecule: long non-coding RNA, 6867 nt
Filed under: Gallus gallus (chicken)
Lineage: Eukaryota; Metazoa; Chordata; Aves; Galliformes; Phasianidae
Description: lncRNA (ENSGALG00010025839.1)
Source: RNAcentral